This 1380-nucleotide long non-coding RNA is filed under the name Anser cygnoides (Swan goose). Its description in RNAcentral is "lncRNA (ENSACDG00005001522.1)". The record is from RNAcentral. Lineage: Eukaryota; Metazoa; Chordata; Aves; Anseriformes; Anatidae.
UGACGCGCACGUGACAGAACGCGCUCUUCGCCGUCCACGUGAUCUGAAAGCCGGGGCGCCGAUAAGGUAGAGGGUGGGCACCUCCUACCGCUUGGCGUCACACGCCGCGACGGGAGCCUGCCUCGGCUCGCUGGGGGGGGGAGGGGGCGAGCGAGCGUCCCCGGCCUUUCCGCGCGCCUCUGGCUCCCGCGCGUGGGGCGGGGCCGCGCGCCCUGAGGCGUCCGCGUGGCUCUCCCCGCCCCGCGAGCGCUCUGUUGUGCGGGCGGUCCGCGUGGCCCUUCGUCUGUCGCUUCCCCUUCCCUCGCUCGGAAACGGGGGUACAACGCCAGCCCGUUGUAUGCUGGCAGCUCAGUGGGCACCGGCGUUUCUCUGCGUUUGGGGAGGAGGUCGCCGAGAGGAGCUGUAAAUGUCUGCUGCUGGCCCCAGAGUCAGCACAAGCAGAUAGCCCAGUGCUAGGUCUGCCAGCAGCUGACAAGGUAAAAAGAUGUGCUUUUCUUUCAUUCUUGUGAAGUUAGAGGCGGUGCCGAUUUAAACUGUGACUGAGGCUCUGCAAUGGUGCAAGUCUAUCCUACUACUUCAAAUUCAGUGGCGGAACAUGAGUUUACAUUAAUUACCUUUUAAGGAUUCAAGCAAUUUAAAGCUUUUGGACAAUGACAGUUAUCUAAAAACAUUCCUACAGGUUUAUUUUCUUCAUUUACAUUUGGUUGCUAUCUCCAUCUCAUUCAAAGCAGUCAGGACUGGGUUGCUUCUCUCUUCUCUGGAAAUUUGCACUAGGAACCAGUGUUAGAAUCAGAAUCCUGAUCUAAGAGUAUGAUGAAAAAUGUCGCACUCCAAGUUGGAAAUUGGAGAGGAAAAUGUUCAUGUAUUCGUAAGAAUUGUGCUCAAACAGCUGAUGACACUUUUUCUUACACCUUAACAGAUGCUUACACCUUUUAACUUUCUACCUGAGAAGCAACAGGUAGUUUCUAUGUUUCCCUUGGGGAUAGUGUACUCUUCUGUAUUUUGCUUCUAUACAAACAGUUCAAAAUUGUAAAGUCAUGUUGUCAGUCAUACAACCAAACAACCUUGCAUGGCAUUCUAUGUUCCCCCCCAGAUAGAUCAAGCCCUGAAUGCAAGACCAGACAAGUAAAUAAUGCCAACAUGUAAAACUAACUUGUACAUACAUUACUUUUUGGCAGGCUUUUUGGCACUUUGUGGGGCUUAACUGUACUUCAGUGAGAAGAAUAUUCUCUGGUGUGAACUGAAAUUAUACCUCUAUGCCACAAUUUCUAUAUUUUUUUUUUUGGGGGGUGGGGGGAGAGGAGCAGAAUUCCUUGUGGACACCUGAAGGAGUUGCAAAAUAAUAAUAAAAUUGAGGUGAAGGAAAAGUUCCUUUUCUGU